GAUGAAGAACGCAGCGAAUUGCGAAAAAGAUUGUGAAUUGCACCCGCGUGAAUCAACGAGUAUUCGAACGCACCUUGCGCUCUGUUGUGAGGCAGAGCAUGUCUGGAUGAGCACCAUCUAUCAUACUCUUUUUAGAGGAUUUAGAGAGAUCCGCUGUCAUUCUUGACAGAGGUCACUUGAAGUGAAGGGUUUAAAAGGGCAGACUGUUUUUAAGGGACUGUUUAGACAGUGAGCAUACAGGUUGGACAUUCGUUCACAUCUAUAGCUUGCAGUUGUUUGAGGCAGACCGUAAAGUAAAAAAGCAGCCCAAUAACCUAAAUUGCUGCUAUCAAUUAUCACCUUUUGGUAUCAUCUCAGACAAGACUACCCGCUGAACUUAAGCAUAUCAAUAAGCGGAGGA
This 400-nucleotide unclassified non-coding RNA is filed under the name soil metagenome. RNAcentral describes it as "partial internal transcribed spacer 1". The stretch from base 1 to 116 matches the Rfam family "5.8S ribosomal RNA", at positions 35 to 154 of the family's 154-position model. The record is from RNAcentral.